GAAAUUGAACUCGCUGUGAAGAUGCAGUGUACCCGCGGCAAGACGGAAAGACCCCGUGAACCUUUACUAUAGCUUGACACUGAACAUUGAGCCUUGAUGUGUAGGAUAGGUGGGAGGCUUUGAAGUGUGGACGCCAGUCUGCAUGGAGCCGACCUUGAAAUACCACCCUUUAAUGUUUGAUGUUCUAACGUGGACCCGUGAUCCGGGUUGCGGACAGUGUCUGGUGGGUAGUUUGACUGGGGCGGUCUCCUCCUAAAGAGUAACGGAGGAGCACGAAGGUUGGCUAAUCCUGGUCGGACAUCAGGAGGUUAGUGCAAUGGCAUAAGCCAGCUUGACUGCGAGCGUGACGGCGCGAGCAGGUGCGAAAGCAGGUCAUAGUGAUCCGGUGGUUCUGAAUGGAAGGGCCAUCGCUCAACGGAUAAAAGGUACUCCGGGGAUAACAGGCUGAUACCGCCCAAGAGUUCAUAUCGACGGCGGUGUUUGGCACCUCGAUGUCGGCUCAUCACAUCCUGGGGCUGAAGUAGGUCCCAAGGGUAUGGCUGUUCGCCAUUUAAAGUGGUACGCGAGCUGGGUUUAGAACGUCGUGAGACAGUUCGGUCCCUAUCUGCCGUGGGCGCUGGAGAACUGAGGGGGGCUGCUCCUAGUACGAGAGGACCGGAGUGGACGCAUCACUGGUGUUCGGGUUGUCAUGCCAAUGGCACUGCCCGGUAGCUAAAUGCGGAAGAGAUAAGUGCUGAAAGCAUCUAAGCACGAAACUUGCCCCGAGAUGAGUUCUCCCUGACCCUUUAAGGGUCCUGAAGGAACGUUGAAGACGACGACGUUGAUAGGCCGGGUGUGUAAGCGCAGCGAUGCGUUGAGCUAACCGGUACUAAUGAACCGUGAGGCUUAACCUUACAACGCCGAAGGUGUUU
RNAcentral lists this ribosomal RNA (911 nucleotides) under Escherichia coli. Its description in RNAcentral is "partial 23S ribosomal RNA". It matches the Rfam family "Bacterial large subunit ribosomal RNA", at positions 2038 to 2925 of the family's 2925-position model. Lineage: Bacteria; Pseudomonadati; Pseudomonadota; Gammaproteobacteria; Enterobacterales; Enterobacteriaceae. The record is from RNAcentral.